This 74-nucleotide transfer RNA is filed under the name Pyronema omphalodes CBS 100304. Its description in RNAcentral is "tRNA-Ile". It matches the Rfam family "tRNA". Rfam says of the family: Transfer RNA (tRNA) molecules are approximately 80 nucleotides in length. Their secondary structure includes four short double-helical elements and three loops (D, anti-codon, and T loops). Lineage: Eukaryota; Fungi; Ascomycota; Pezizomycetes; Pezizales; Pyronemataceae. The record is from RNAcentral.
GGUCUAUUAGCUCAGGAGCGUGGUGCUAAUAUUGGUUAACGCCAAGGUCACAGGUUCGACCCCUGUAUGGAUCA